UGCAUGACUCUCGACAACAGAUAUCUUGGCUCUUGCAUCGAUGAAGAACGUAGCAAAAUGCGAUACUUGGUGUGAAUUGCAAAAUCCCGUAAACCAUCGAGUCUUUGAAUGCAAGUUGCGCCCGAGGCUAUCUGGCCAAGGGCACGCCUGCCUGGGCGUCAYG
This 163-nucleotide ribosomal RNA is filed under the name Ungernia flava. RNAcentral describes it as "5.8S ribosomal RNA". It matches the Rfam family "5.8S ribosomal RNA". From Rfam's summary of the family: 5.8S ribosomal RNA (5.8S rRNA) is a component of the large subunit of the eukaryotic ribosome. It is transcribed by RNA polymerase I as part of the 45S precursor that also contains 18S and 28S rRNA. Functionally, it is thought that 5.8S rRNA may be involved in ribosome translocation. Lineage: Eukaryota; Viridiplantae; Streptophyta; Magnoliopsida; Asparagales; Amaryllidaceae. The record is from RNAcentral.